GAUGAACGCUAGCUACAGGCCUAACACAUGCAAGUCGAGGGGCAGCAUGGGAGAAGCUUGCUUUUCCCGAUGGCGACCGGCGAAUGGGUGAGUCACGCGUGUCCAACCUGCCCCCCGCCCGGGGAUAGCCCUUGGACAUGAGGAUUAAGACCCGAUAGGUGCGCAUUCCGCAUGGCGUGCGCAUGAAACGAGGCGGGGGAUGGGGACGCGUCGGAUUAGCUUGACGGCGGGGCAACGGCCCACCGUGGCGACGAUCCGCAGGGGUUCUGAGAGGAAGGUCCCCCACAUUGGAACUGAGACACGGUCCAAACUCCUACGGGAGGCAGCAGUGAGGAAUAUUGGUCAAUGGGCGCGAGCCUGAACCAGCCAAGUAGCGUGCAGGACGACGGCCCUACGGGUUGUAAACUGCUUUUGCGGGAGGAUAAAGUGCGCCACGCGUGGCGCUAUGCAGGUAUCCCGUGAAUAAGGACCGGCUAAAUACAUGCCAGCCGCCGCAGUAAUAC
Molecule: ribosomal RNA, 503 nt
Filed under: uncultured bacterium
Lineage: Bacteria
Description: partial 16S ribosomal RNA
Rfam family: Bacterial small subunit ribosomal RNA
Source: RNAcentral